GACGAACGCUGGCGGCGUGCUUAACACAUGCAAGUCGAACGGAAAGGCCCUGGUUUUGUGGGGUGCUCGAGUGGCGAACGGGUGAGUAACACGUGAGUAACCUGCCCUUGACUUUGGGAUAACUUCAGGAAACUGGGGCUAAUACCGGAUACGAGCUACUGCUGCAUGGUGGGGGUUGGAAAGGUUCGGCGGUUGGGGAUGGACUCGCGGCUUAUCAGCUUGUUGGUGGGGUAGUGGCUUACCAAGGCUUUGACGGGUAGCCGGCCUGAGAGGGUGACCGGCCACACUGGGACUGAGAUACGGCCCAGACUCCUACGGGAGGCAGCAGUGGGGAAUAUUGCACAAUGGGCGGAAGCCUGAUGCAGCAACGCCGCGUGCGGGAUGACGGCCUUCGGGUUGUAAACCGCUUUCGCCUGGGACGAAGCGAGAGUGACGGUAACGGGUAAAGAAGCACCGGCUAACUACGUG
Molecule: ribosomal RNA, 468 nt
Filed under: uncultured bacterium
Lineage: Bacteria
Description: partial 16S ribosomal RNA
Rfam family: Bacterial small subunit ribosomal RNA
Source: RNAcentral